This 624-nucleotide ribosomal RNA is filed under the name uncultured archaeon. Its description in RNAcentral is "bacterial SSU rRNA". It matches the Rfam family "Archaeal small subunit ribosomal RNA", at positions 147 to 776 of the family's 1478-position model. The record is from RNAcentral.
UAAUACCCUAUAGGUUACAGAUGCUGGAAUGCUCUGUAAUCAAAAGUUCCGGCGCCCUAGGAUGGAUCUGCGGCCGAUUAGGUUGUUGUUGGGGUAAUGGCCCAACAAGCCAGUAAUCGGUACGGGUUGUGGGAGCAAGAGCCCGGAGUUGGAUUCUGAGACACGAAUCCAGGCCCUACGGGGCGCAGCAGGCGCGAAAACUUUACAAUGCGGGCAACCGUGAUAAGGGAACCUCGAGUGCCUGUAAAUGCAGGCUGUUCAGAUGCCUAAAACACAUCUGGAGAAAGGGCCGGGCAAGACCGGUGCCAGCCGCCGCGGUAAUACCGGCGGCUCGAGUGGUGGCCACUUUUAUUGGGCUUAAAGCGUUCGUAGCUGGGUUGUUAAGUCUCUUGGGAAAUCUGGCGGCUUAACCGUCAGGCGUCUAAGGGAUACUGGCAAUCUUGGAACCGGGAGAGGUGAGGGGUACUUCGGGGGUAGGAGUGAAAUCCUGUAAUCCUCGAGGGACCACCUGUGGCGGAGGCGCCUCACCAGAACGGCUUCGACAGUGAGGGACGAAAGCUGGGGGAGCAAACCGGAUUAGAUACCCGGGUAGUCCCAGCCGUAAACUAUGCGCGUUAGGUGUAU